RNAcentral lists this ribosomal RNA (438 nucleotides) under uncultured microorganism. Its description in RNAcentral is "bacterial SSU rRNA". It matches the Rfam family "Bacterial small subunit ribosomal RNA", at positions 9 to 493 of the family's 1533-position model. The record is from RNAcentral.
GAGUUUGAUCCUGGCUCAGAGCGAACGCUGGCGGCAGGCCUAACACAUGCAAGUCGAACGAACUCUUCGGAGUUAGUGGCGGACGGGUGAGUAACACGUGGGAACGUGCCUUUUGGUUCGGAAUAACUCAGGGAAACUUGUGCUAAUACCGAAUGUGCCCUUCGGGGAAGGAUUAUCGCCAUUAGAGCGGCCCGCCGUCUGAUUAGCUAGUUGGUGAGGUAAAGGACUCACCAAGGCGACGAUCAGUAGCUGGUCUGAGAGGAUGAUCAGCCACAUUGGGACUGAGACACGGCCCAAACUCCUACGGGAGGCAGCAGUGGGGAAUCUUGCGCAAUGGGCGAAAGCCUGACGCAGCCAUGCCGCGUGAAUGAUGAAGGUCUUAGGAUUGUAAAAUUCUUUCACCGGGACGGAUAAUGACGGUACCCGGAGAAGAAGCCC